GUGCUUACUUUGGCAACACAUAUACUAAAAUUGGAAUGAUACGGAGAUUAGCAUUGUCCCUGGUCAAGGAUGACACACAAAUUCAUGAAGCAUUAUAUAUAUAU
Molecule: small nuclear RNA, 104 nt
Organism: Macaca fascicularis (crab-eating macaque)
Lineage: Eukaryota; Metazoa; Chordata; Mammalia; Primates; Cercopithecidae
Source: Ensembl